UGGGGAAUAUUGCACAAUGGGCGCAAGCCUGAUGCAGCCAUGCCGCGUGUAUGAAGAAGGCCUUCGGGUUGUAAAGUACUUUCAGUCGGGAGGAAGGUGGUAAGGUUAAUAACCUUGGCAAUUGACGUUACCGACAGAAGAAGCACCGGCUAACUCCGUGCCAGCAGCCGCGGUAAUACGGAGGGUGCAAGCGUUAAUCGGAAUUACUGGGCGUAAAGCGCACGCAGGCGGUUGAUUGAGUCAGAUGUGAAAUCCCCGGGCUUAACCCGGGAAUUGCAUCUGAUACUGGCAAGCUUGAGUCUCGUAGAGGGGGGUAGAAUUCCAGGUGUAGCGGUGAAAUGCGUAGAGAUCUGGAGGAAUACCGGUGGCGAAGGCGGCCCCCUGGACGAAGACUGACGCUCAGGUGCGAAAGCGUGGGGAGCAAACAGG
Molecule: ribosomal RNA, 429 nt
Filed under: Chloroflexota bacterium
Lineage: Bacteria; Bacillati; Chloroflexota
Description: Chloroflexi bacterium partial 16S ribosomal RNA
Rfam family: Bacterial small subunit ribosomal RNA
Source: RNAcentral